CACCGCACGUCGCUCCUAGCGAUUGAGUGGUCCGGUGAAGUGUUUGAAUCGCAAUGACGGGGGUGGUUCGCUGCCCCCAACGUCGCGAGAAGCCCAUUAAACCUUAGCAUUUAGAGGAAGGAGAAGUCGUAACAAGGUUUCCAUAGGUAUUGUUGUGA
This is a non-coding RNA of Triticum aestivum (bread wheat), 158 nucleotides long. The record is from Rfam. NCBI's taxonomy places the organism in Eukaryota, Viridiplantae, Streptophyta, Magnoliopsida, Poales, Poaceae.